RNAcentral lists this small RNA (447 nucleotides) under Histoplasma capsulatum. RNAcentral describes it as "hypothetical RNA". Lineage: Eukaryota; Fungi; Ascomycota; Eurotiomycetes; Onygenales; Ajellomycetaceae. RNAcentral also lists the same sequence under 1 other name. The record is from RNAcentral.
UACUCCUCAUGAUCCAAAAGAGAUAGCUUCGCAAGCGUAUUAUUAGAAGUUUGUACGGGUCCCGGUCGAUUUUGAAAGAAGUACCGUUCAUGCGGUGGGAGAUCUCCCUCAGGAGUAGGGGAUCGCCGAUUCUUCGCACCCUUGGGGCGUCCAGCGCGGCGCUUCGGCGUAGGUUCAGCUUUUCCAGCAUUAUUUGCUUUACUCGCUCCUCGCUCUUUGAUUUUCUCAGCCUCGUCAUCAUCCCCUGAUUCCAAGAUAGCUUGCGCUAAUUUAUCUGCACCGUCCCAAUCAUCCUCAUCAUUUUGUUCUAGAAGUACGCGCGCACUUUUUCGCUUCGCUGAGCGAUCAGCAUUUCUUGUUAUGGAAGGAGAAGGAUGCACGGAUUUUUUUCCAGUAGCUUUUGUGGGUGUUGCGAAUAACGGUCCGGAUUGCGCCUUUGAAGUCGGG